AUAGUCGGAUUCACAUUAAUCCAUAUGUGUUGGGGUGGAUUGGAAUGGAACUUGAACUAAAUUCCACUCCAAUCCACUCCAACGCAUGUGAAUUGAGGUGAAUUCGACA
Sorghum bicolor (sorghum) is the source of this 109-nucleotide microRNA precursor. It matches the Rfam family "MIR5565 microRNA precursor family". NCBI's taxonomy places the organism in Eukaryota, Viridiplantae, Streptophyta, Magnoliopsida, Poales, Poaceae. The record is from Rfam.